GAGGAGAGUUGCGACUUCACUGUUAACAGAUUUGGAACUAUUAAAAGUUUUGAGAUGACUAUGAAUCAAGAAGUGACUACAAGGAAAAA
This is a long non-coding RNA of Nicotiana attenuata, 89 nucleotides long. RefSeq lists it as uncharacterized. The record is from RefSeq and is a predicted model, not a curated record. The transcript has 2 exons. Lineage: Eukaryota; Viridiplantae; Streptophyta; Magnoliopsida; Solanales; Solanaceae.